GUGAUCUAAAAGAACAGGAGCCAAUAUUGGAAAAUUACUUUUGUAAAAAAAAGAGUAAAAAGGACUACAAAGAUUAUUUUUUUAGCCCUUAGGUUCAGUUUCUUUCUCAACCAUACUUUUUACUAUAUCUACUUACAAUGAACACAAGUGAUUGACCAAUUGGAUUUGCAAAUCCAAACCAAGGAAAGGUGUCCAUUAAAUACCCCACAUUUGGAGGGAAUGCCAUAGUAAUUUAAGAAGUCUAUAACUUAGUUUCUUUUUUCCCUUUAUGUUGUUAUUUUAGCCAAGGGUCUGUUUCCCUAGAGUAGCAAAGAACACUUGAAAAAUCUAAAGGACUGAACGCUGAUUUCAGAGAUCAGGGCAGGAGGGAAGACUAAGCAAGCAAAGACUGGUAAGACAAAAGAAGCCUCAGACUUUAGAUCCCAUCGACUUAGCGCUGGGCUCCAGCUGUUUACAUGCAUGAAACUCCUACCAUCCUCUUUUGAUUUGCAACAUGCGCUGAGCCUAGGACAAAAGAACAUCCUCUUAUUCACAAGUCGUGACUCAUGUGAAAAUUGAAACUUCAUGCUAUUUUUUAUUAAGGGCUUUGCUUUCUUUCUGUGGGUCAGAAUAAUUGGGGGAGGGAGAAGAUAAACACAGUAAAAUAAACAUGAACAAUGGAUAAAUCCA
Molecule: long non-coding RNA, 669 nt
Filed under: Monodelphis domestica (gray short-tailed opossum)
Lineage: Eukaryota; Metazoa; Chordata; Mammalia; Didelphimorphia; Didelphidae
Description: lncRNA (ENSMODG00000036015.2)
Source: RNAcentral